RNAcentral lists this long non-coding RNA (231 nucleotides) under Lathyrus oleraceus (garden pea). RNAcentral describes it as "Pisum sativum (pea) long non-coding RNA (PSAT_LNC001800)". Lineage: Eukaryota; Viridiplantae; Streptophyta; Magnoliopsida; Fabales; Fabaceae. The record is from RNAcentral.
GUGAAUGAUGCAAAAACCACAAAUAGGAUCACACAAAGCACACAAACAAGGUCCAAAAGUUCGAAGUCACGAGCAUGGAGCCAAGGGUAAGAACUAACCCACAAUGUGUGUACUAAGGGUAUAAUCAUCUGUAGAACAAGGUUCUGAAAAGUUCCCAGAGUCAUAAUCCCCUCUUUUGGAUAUUACCGACUUAAACGACUACUCGCCAACCAAUAAUAUUCUCAAGAGAAA